UAUUGAAUGGCUGAAAAGAAAGCAAUGGUCUCUUAAACCAGUUUAUAGUACUCGCAUACUUUCAAUAA
This 68-nucleotide transfer RNA is filed under the name Argas miniatus. RNAcentral's name for it is "tRNA-Lys". It matches the Rfam family "tRNA". Rfam says of the family: Transfer RNA (tRNA) molecules are approximately 80 nucleotides in length. The record is from RNAcentral. Lineage: Eukaryota; Metazoa; Arthropoda; Arachnida; Ixodida; Argasidae.